GCGGGCAUGCCUGUCCGAGCGUCAUUU
RNAcentral lists this ribosomal RNA (27 nucleotides) under Leptographium cucullatum. RNAcentral's name for it is "Grosmannia cucullata partial 5.8S ribosomal RNA". Lineage: Eukaryota; Fungi; Ascomycota; Sordariomycetes; Ophiostomatales; Ophiostomataceae. RNAcentral also lists the same sequence under 2 other names. The record is from RNAcentral.